ACCUCUUUGUUAGGUACAGCUAAUUUAAAAAAAAAAUCUGUCCUUAUCAGUUUAAUAUCUGAUACGUCCCCUAUCUGGGGACCAUAUAUUAAAUGGAUUUUUGGAACAGGGAGAUGGAAGAAGAGCUUGCUCUGUCCACUCCACGCAUCGACCUGGUAUUGCAGUACCUCCAGGACCGGUGCACCUCUC
Molecule: small nuclear RNA, 189 nt
Organism: Xenopus tropicalis (tropical clawed frog)
Lineage: Eukaryota; Metazoa; Chordata; Amphibia; Anura; Pipidae
Gene: U2
Rfam family: U2 spliceosomal RNA
About the family: U2 is a small nuclear RNA (snRNA) component of the spliceosome (involved in pre-mRNA splicing). Complementary binding between U2 snRNA (in an area lying towards the 5' end but 3' to hairpin I) and the branchpoint sequence (BPS) of the intron results the bulging out of an unpaired adenosine, on the BPS, which initiates a nucleophilic attack at the intronic 5' splice site, thus starting the first of two transesterification reactions that mediate splicing.
Source: Ensembl